AGAGUUUGAUCCUGGCUCAGGAUGAACGCUGGCGGCGUGCCUAACACAUGCAAGUCGAACGAAGCAAUCGGGAUGAAGUUUUCGGAUGGAUUCCUGGUUGACUGAGUGGCGGACGGGUGAGUAACGCGUGGAUAACCUGCCUCACACUGGGGGAUAACAGUUAGAAAUGGCUGCUAAUACCGCAUAAGCGCACAGUACCGCAUGGUACGGUGUGAAAAACCCAGGUGGUGUGAGAUGGAUCCGCGUCUGAUUAGCCAGUUGGCGGGGUAACGGCCCACCAAAGCGACGAUCAGUAGCCGACCUGAGGGGGUGACCGGCCACAUUGGGACUGAGACACGGCCCAAACUCCUACGGGAGGCAGCAGUGGGGAAUAUUGCACAAUGGGCGAAAGCCUGAUGCAGCGACGCCGCGUGAGUGAAGAAGUAUCUCGGUAUGUAAAGCUCUAUCAGCAGGGAAGAAAAUGACGGUACCUGACUAAGAAGCCCCGGCUAACUACGUGCCAGCAGCCGCGGU
RNAcentral lists this ribosomal RNA (513 nucleotides) under uncultured bacterium. RNAcentral describes it as "bacterial SSU rRNA". It matches the Rfam family "Bacterial small subunit ribosomal RNA", at positions 8 to 521 of the family's 1533-position model. The record is from RNAcentral.